CGGGUUUUCCGAUUUUGGCGUCUUGCGGUCCUAUAAAACACAGUGAGUCGCAGUGUCCCCAGCCUCCAGCAUAACUCUCUCCAAUUUCUCUCUCUCAAUGCUGUUCUCUCUAGAGCUCUUGCUUUCACUCUUUUAUCUUUCCAUUCCUUUUCCUCCCUCAUCUCUUUCCCCUUUUUUCCCCCUCUCUCGGUCUCUCUUAUACGGAUUACACUACAAGUUUGUGCUUUUUCUGUUCCCCUGGAAGAUAGUGCUACGGUGACCGCUCAGCCAUAACUCGCCAGUGUUCGUCUCAUAUUGAUUUUGAGGUAACAAUUUAAUUCUUCCUUUUUUUUUGGUAGUCAAUUUUUUUUUGUCAGGCCCUACUUUUCUCGAAAUUUUUCUUGCCUUUUUGCCUUUCUCCCCUCCCCUCUCCUACUCCGACUUCUCUCUCCCCGUUUCCGUGGAGAUUUAUGAUCUAUAUUGCAUCCGUUGUCUUCCUGGACAUGAAUCCGUAUUCGUUUUCGUCUCUUUUCUUCUAGCUUUUUCCUGAAAUUUCACUGUUUCCCUUA
RNAcentral lists this long non-coding RNA (548 nucleotides) under Phoenix dactylifera (date palm). RNAcentral describes it as "long non-coding RNA (PDAC_LNC014448)". The record is from RNAcentral. Lineage: Eukaryota; Viridiplantae; Streptophyta; Magnoliopsida; Arecales; Arecaceae.